RNAcentral lists this long non-coding RNA (739 nucleotides) under Equus caballus (horse). RNAcentral describes it as "lncRNA (ENSECAG00000040468.2)". The record is from RNAcentral. Lineage: Eukaryota; Metazoa; Chordata; Mammalia; Perissodactyla; Equidae.
GGACGCAUGCCACUCAAUAUUUCUUUUUCUUCACCAGGCAGGGUGGGAGCACGAUCUAGCUUGUGACGGAUGGCAAGGCUCCCUUUCACGUUCAUUCUUUCCUUCAUUCAUUCCAAACAACCUCAAGAGGUCGGCUGGCCCAGCUUCCUGCCUGAGGUAGGUCAACACCGAAACCACCAGGUGUGAACACGUUGCUGGUCUUUGUUUUGGUGGGAACAGUUGAGUCCUCUCUCUCUGCCAUCCUGGAAGAAGGAUCAGUCAGAGUUCUUUCUGUACCCAUUUUAUGUGAGUUUCCACUUGAAUCCUCAUGCCUUUGCCCUCUCAUCCGGAUUUCAAAUAACACCUACUGGAGGCCUGCUUUUUCCUGUCCUUUUUCAUCUUGAGCCUCAGCAUCUUCUGCUCUCUUUGCUGACCCACCAAACCUCCCCCUGUAGCACCAAUCUGCUGUCACUCACAUUGUCAGAGAUGGCAUCAGCAGAUGUAGCUGCAGAGUCCCUUGUCCUGCCUAUCUCUGAGAGGUCCAUUGGGCAAGCUCGCCAGGACCCUGGAGACGCACCUUGGAAAGGGAGAAAUGCCGCCUGCCGUGUUCUACUCCCAGAGUUCCACGGUACCCAUCAGUCCACAUUAAAGGGCCUGAGACUUCGCACCAUAAAGGGGCCUCUUAAUGUCUGUGAAUUGGUGCCGUACAAACUUAUUUUAGAAUCCCAACUUCUGAGUCAUACCUUCUACCUUUUUUCAG